GCCAUCGUAGCUCAGCAUGGUAGAGCGGCUGAUUUGUAAUCAGCAGGUCGGGGGAUCGAAUCCCUCCGAUGGCU
Molecule: non-coding RNA, 74 nt
Organism: Ferroplasma sp. Type II
Lineage: Archaea; Methanobacteriati; Thermoplasmatota; Thermoplasmata; Thermoplasmatales; Ferroplasmaceae
Source: Rfam